This 664-nucleotide long non-coding RNA is filed under the name Triticum aestivum (bread wheat). RNAcentral's name for it is "long non-coding RNA (TAES_LNC003396)". The record is from RNAcentral. Lineage: Eukaryota; Viridiplantae; Streptophyta; Magnoliopsida; Poales; Poaceae.
CAUCGAGGUGGAGAUCCACGACGGACCUUACAACGUCAUCAAGAACUGGAACUACACCGCCCUUGUGGAGGCCAUCCACAACGGGGAGGGCAAAUGCUGGACUGCCAAGGUAAGCACGCACUCUUUUGUCCAUUGCGCAAGCAUCAGAGAAGAAGGAGGCGAGCUUGCAGAACUGCUGCUGACGCAUGCUUUUGUGUUGGCGCAGGUGAAGUGCGAGGAGGAGCUGACGGCGGCGAUCGAGAUGGCGCUGGGGGAGAAGGAGGACUCUCUCUGCUUCAUCGAGGUGAUCGCGCACAAGGACGACACCAGCAAAGAGCUUCUGGAAUGGGGCUCCAGGGUCUCUGCUGCCAACUCCAGGCCACCCAAUCCCCAGUAGACAGACCGACCAAAGCCACGCCUGCAUCAGUAGUAGUAGCAGCAGCAGCAGCACGCACGUUGCCCAUCAAAUAAUGUUGAACAGUUUAUCUUUGCUCUUCUGUUAUGUUCUUAGUUUUGUGCCUUGUAGUGACUUGUGCCAUCGCCUGUGUUCUAUCCUGCCAAUGCUACGAAGAUUAUGAGAUAUUUUUAGCUUGCCUCAGCUAUUUUUCUACCUUCUUUCAAAAUGGUCGGCCAAUAUAAAUUGAAAAAUCACGAGCUACUACUGAGCGGCUCCUCGAGGAAUCUA